GAUUAAGUUAUUAAGGGCGCACGGUGGAUGCCUUGGCACUAGAAGCCGACGAAGGACGUUACUAACGACGAUAUGCUUUGGGGAGCUGUAAGUAAGCUUUGAUCCAGAGAUUUCCGAAUGGGGAAACCCAGCACGAGUUAUGUCGUGUUAUCUGCAUGUGAAUACAUAGCAUGCAAGAAGGCAGACCCGGAGAACUGAAACAUCUUAGUACCCGGAGGAAGAGAAAGAAAAAUCGAUUCCCUGAGUAGCGGCGAGCGAAACGGGAAGAGCCCAAACCAAUAAGCUUGCUUAUUGGGGUUGUAGGACACUCUGUACGGAGUUACAAAAGAAUUUGUUAGACGAAUAACCUGGAAAGGUUAAUCAGAGAAGGUAAUAAUCCUGUAGUCGAAA
Molecule: ribosomal RNA, 390 nt
Filed under: Staphylococcus pseudintermedius
Lineage: Bacteria; Bacillati; Bacillota; Bacilli; Caryophanales; Staphylococcaceae
Description: partial 23S ribosomal RNA
Rfam family: Bacterial large subunit ribosomal RNA
Source: RNAcentral